AUGGUGGGCUUCUGCGACCCUGGAGCGCAGUUGAAGACCUGCCUUUGGUGUGUUUCAGACUCCAGCCUCCCUCCUCCAGUCCUGACCGUCUCCCUCCAUCCCGGGCUGAGCUCCAGUCCAACAAAGCCCAUCUGGCCUGUCUGUCCAGUCAGUCGGUGCCUUUUGCAGAUGUGACCUGUUUAGCUGGAGGGAGUCCAGUGAGCAGUGGGGUCUCUAUUAGCACCGCUGUUUAACAACCGGACCAGACUUUCCACAUCAGCAGCUAUCUGGACCUCCAGACGGCCGACUGGAACGUGGAUACGGUUUACACAUGUAAAGUGUCUUUGGGCGACCAGACUUCAGAGAAAAACAUCAGGAAGUUCGACUGUCCCACUGACCAACUGUAGAGGAGCAGUAUGACCAUUUAACACCUGCUGCUUUACUCUUUGUGCUGUUUAUUCAUCACACGCUUUACUUUUUAGAAAAUGUUUCAGCAUGCUUGUAAUACAUGUCGUCAUGGUCAAGUGGAGGUGUUAUUUUUAUUUUCAGUUUCUUAUGGAUGGGAUUUAUUGACAAAGGUUUUUCAUUAUUUUCAUUAUAUCAUUUAGCUUACACCUUUUUAAGCAUAAAGAAAAACAAUUUAUUGCAGGAUAUCAUGUUUGCUCUGCAUGGAGGGGCACCAUUCACAAUAAGAGAUAAACUGAGUGUUAUUGACAAAUCAUUCAUUAUUAAAACUUCAGUGUCACAGACAGUUCCCUCUUAUUUUACAAAGAGCUGACACUCGACCUCUGCAUUUACAUGCAGCUAUACAUAAGUAGAGGAGGCCUGCAGGUGCAUCCUAGGAAGGAAGGGAGGAGGAGAGAAGGUGAUGCUUCACUGAUGACGGAUGAAAACGUGGUUUCAUUUGCCAAUCUUAUCUAAUUUAUCUAACAUCCUUACGAUUGCAAUCCAGAUUUUUUAAAUAGUAAUCGGGUUUAAUGACAAACACGUCACCAGCAUUGUUAUACAUUGUUAUUGUCACUUUGUCAUGAUGGUUGGUUACCUACUUAUACGUGAACUUUCAGUGUGUAUUGUAUUGAGUGAAUUUUGCAGCUGUCCCAAAUAAACAAUAUUUGGAAGUGUUGAACGAAUGAAUGUUGAUACAAUGUUUUCAAAACAGCCUAUUUAAUUGUUUUGGUUGUGGUGAAGAGGAACAAGAAAAUGAUGAAGGAAUUGUUUUGUUCUCCAAAAUCCAUCAUAAUGUAAUACGCUUUUCUUUAAUAUUGCUCAUGCUGUCUAUUUUUAAAUUUGUUAUUAUACUUUUAUUAUUUUUACUAUAACAGGCUAAUCUGGAUACAGAUAUACUUUCAUGAAGCAAUUUGACAGUAUAUGUAUUGUAAAAGAAUAUAAAAUGAAAAAUGUUGUAUUUCAUUGAAAGUAUGGGCAGCUGGCAGCAGGCGGUCCGACUCCGGCUCCCUCUGUGCACAUCGCUCUCCUUUAAUCUCCGAGCAAUUUGUUCCCAAUUGUUGGGCCACAAUUGGAAUGUGUGUGUGAAUGAGGAGCAAAAAGAAAAGCACUUUGUCCUACCAUGGUUGAAAAAUGCCCAAUGCAGUUCAUUUACAAAGUAUUAGAUGUCGAUCAGCUUGAAACUCAUCUGUUUUUAAUCAUCAUUUGGGUAAGUAACUCCAACAUGAAAAAUGCUCACACAAAGUUAAUUAAUGUGUGUGUGUAUAUAUAUAUAUAUAUACAGUAUAUACGUACACACACAUAUAUAUAUAUACAUACACACAUGUAUAUAAACACAUGUGUGUGUAUGUAUAUAUAUAUAUUAAAUCAAAACACUAGACUACCAUUUCAGCCAUUAUGAUACUUAAUGUCCAGCUAUCAACACACAGAGAGCAGCAUGCUGACAGUGGAGAUAUUGAUUUAAGCUGCCACCUUGUGGUUAAAAGGGACUUUUUCAAGAUUUUUUUGGAGAUUUAAAAAUCAUCUUUUCGACAAAAUGCAUGAGCACGUGACUUAUUCACACAUUUUACUCCUCAAUAAAACGAUACAAAAUAA
Molecule: non-coding RNA, 2019 nt
Organism: Pseudoliparis swirei
Lineage: Eukaryota; Metazoa; Chordata; Actinopteri; Perciformes; Liparidae
Source: the annotation of a RefSeq genome assembly